This 651-nucleotide ribosomal RNA is filed under the name uncultured Alteromonas sp. RNAcentral's name for it is "bacterial SSU rRNA". It matches the Rfam family "Bacterial small subunit ribosomal RNA", at positions 59 to 707 of the family's 1533-position model. The record is from RNAcentral. Lineage: Bacteria; Pseudomonadati; Pseudomonadota; Gammaproteobacteria; Alteromonadales; Alteromonadaceae.
AAGUCGAACGGUAACAGGAUGUGCUUGCACAUCGCUGACGAGUGGCGGACGGGUGGGUAAUGCUUGGGAACUUGCCUUUGCGAGGGGGAUAACAGUUGGAAACGACUGCUAAUACCGCAUAAUGUCUUCGGACCAAACGGGGCUUAGGCUCCGGCGCAAAGAGAGGCCCAAGUGAGAUUAGCUAGUUGGUAAGGUAAUGGCUUACCAAGGCGACGAUCUCUAGCUGUUCUGAGAGGAAGAUCAGCCACACUGGGACUGAGACACGGCCCAGACUCCUACGGGAGGCAGCAGUGGGGAAUAUUGCACAAUGGGGGAAACCCUGAUGCAGCCAUGCCGCGUGUGUGAAGAAGGCCUUCGGGUUGUAAAGCACUUUCAGUUGUGAGGAAAAGCUAGUAGUUAAUACCUGCUAGCCGUGACGUUAACAACAGAAGAAGCACCGGCUAACUCCGUGCCAGCAGCCGCGGUAAUACGGAGGGUGCGAGCGUUAAUCGGAAUUACUGGGCGUAAAGCGCACGCAGGCGGUUUGUUAAGCUAGAUGUGAAAGCCCCGGGCUCAACCUGGGAUGGUCAUUUAGAACUGGCAGACUAGAGUCUUGGAGAGGGGAGUGGAAUUCCAGGUGUAGCGGUGAAAUGCGUAGAUAUCUGGAGGAAC